RNAcentral lists this ribosomal RNA (855 nucleotides) under uncultured Planctomycetota bacterium. Its description in RNAcentral is "bacterial SSU rRNA". It matches the Rfam family "Bacterial small subunit ribosomal RNA", at positions 1 to 866 of the family's 1533-position model. The record is from RNAcentral. Lineage: Bacteria; Pseudomonadati; Planctomycetota.
UCUCUCACUUUGCCUUCCACCUCCGCUUGCGGUUUAGCGUAAACGCACUAAACCGCAAGCGCGACGGUGGAGGUCGAAGUGAGAGGCUGGGGGAAGUGGCGAAAGGGGCAGUAAUGCGUGGGUAAUCUACCCUGGGGACCGGGAUAGCCAUUCCAACGAGUGGGUAAUACCGGGCAAUGUGGUUGAGGGGCAUCUCUUGGCCGCCAGAUGAAUUUCGCCCUGGGAGGAGCUCACGUCGUAUUAGCUAGUUGGCGGGGUAACGGCCCACCAAGGCAAAGAUGCGUAGCGGGUGUGAGAGCACGACCCGCGCCACUGGCACUGAGACACUGGCCAGACACCUACGGGUGGCUGCAGUCGAGGAUCUUUGGCAAUGAGCGCAAGCUUGACCAAGCGACGCCGCGUGUGCGAUGAAGGCCUUCGGGUUGUAAAGCACUGUCGAGGGGGACGAAGCCGAAAGGUUGACCGAUCCCUGGAGGAAGCACGGGCUAAGUUCGUGCCAGCAGCCGCGGUAAGACGAACCGUGCGAACGUUGUUCGGAAUCACUGGGCUUAAAGGGCGCGUAGGCGGCUCAUCAAGUCGGGGGUGAAAUACUUCAGCUUAACUGGAGAAGUGCCUUCGAUACUGGUGAGCUCGAGGGAGGUAGGGGCAUGUGGAACUUCUGGUGGAGCGGUGAAAUGCGUUGAUAUCAGAAGGAACGCCGGUGGCGAAAGCGACGUGCUGGACCUCUUCUGACGCUGAGGCGCGAAAGCUAGGGGAGCAAACGGGAUUAGAUACCCCGGUAGUCCUAGCCCUAAACGAUGGGUACUAGGUUGUAGACUUGACAUGGGUUUACAGUCGAAGCAAAAGUGUUAAGUA